CCUACGGGAGGCAGCAGUGGGGAAUAUUGGGCAAUGGAGGCAACUCUGACCCAGCAACGCCGCGUGAAUGAUGAAGGUCUUCGGAUUGUAAAGUUCUGUGAUGGGGGAUGAACACAAUGACGGUACCCCAAUAGCAAGCCACGGCUAACUACGUGCCAGCAGCCGCGGUAAUACGUAGGUGGCAAGCGUUAUCCGGAAUGACUGGUGGGAAGGGGUGCGUAGGUGGUUUAGUAAGUUGGCGGUGUAAUUCCGGGGCUCAACCUCGGCGCUACCGCCAAAACUAUUAGACUAGAGUGCAGGAGGGGUAAGUGGAAUUCCUAGUGUAGCGGUGGAAGGCGUAGAUAUUAGGAGGAACAUCAGGGGCGAAGGCGACUUACUGGACUGUAACUGACACUGAGGCACGAAAGCGUGGGGAGCAAACAGGAUUAGAUACCCUAGGAGUC
Molecule: ribosomal RNA, 443 nt
Filed under: uncultured bacterium
Lineage: Bacteria
Description: partial 16S ribosomal RNA
Rfam family: Bacterial small subunit ribosomal RNA
Source: RNAcentral